RNAcentral lists this ribosomal RNA (472 nucleotides) under uncultured bacterium. RNAcentral describes it as "bacterial SSU rRNA". It matches the Rfam family "Bacterial small subunit ribosomal RNA", at positions 29 to 507 of the family's 1533-position model. The record is from RNAcentral.
ACGAACGCUGGCGGCGUGCUUAACACAUGCAAGUCGAGCGGAAAGGCUCCUUCGGGGGUACUCGAGCGGCGAACGGGUGAGUAACACGUGAGUAAUCUGCCCUUGGCUUUGGGAUAACUACCGGAAACGGUGGCUAAUACCGGAUACGACCACUCCUUGCAUGAGGUGGUGGUGGAAAGUUUUUCGGCCAGGGAUGUGCUCGCGGCCUAUCAGCUUGUUGGUGGGGUAAUGGCCUACCAAGGCUUCGACGGGUAGCCGGCCUGAGAGGGUGACCGGCCACACUGGGACUGAGACACGGCCCAGACUCCUACGGGAGGCAGCAGUGGGGAAUAUUGGACAAUGGGCGGAAGCCUGAUCCAGCAACGCCGCGUGAGGGAUGACGGCCUUCGGGUUGUAAACCUCUUUCAGUACCGACGAAGCGCCGAUGAUGGUGGUGACGGUAGGUACAGAAGAAGCACCGGCCAACUACGUG